This 119-nucleotide non-coding RNA is filed under the name Desulforamulus aeronauticus. RNAcentral describes it as "Desulfotomaculum aeronauticum MoCo sequence". It matches the Rfam family "Molybdenum/Tungsten riboswitch aptamer (Moco RNA motif)". Lineage: Bacteria; Bacillati; Bacillota; Clostridia; Eubacteriales; Peptococcaceae. The record is from RNAcentral.
GUAACAACAUGUCUCCGAGCUAUUUUGAUCUAAAGCCUUGGCUAUGAUCGACUGGCCGAUAGGGCUUACCGAGAAAUUGGUUGGCCUCCCCUGUGGAAAGGAGCACAGCUUGGCUUAUU